RNAcentral lists this long non-coding RNA (204 nucleotides) under Elaeis guineensis (African oil palm). Its description in RNAcentral is "long non-coding RNA (EGUI_LNC046721)". Lineage: Eukaryota; Viridiplantae; Streptophyta; Magnoliopsida; Arecales; Arecaceae. The record is from RNAcentral.
CCACCUGCUCUCUGACCUGAUGCCGCUCUUGUUGAGUUGGUGCCUGCUACGGCUGAGGCAGAGGGAGAGACUGCUGAGGCAUAGGGGGUGGCUGUGGAGCUCUCGAAGCUCGGUGUUGAGGGGUCGCUCUCCAGAUAAAAUGAUUCAGCUGCCCUUGCCUAACGAGCCUCUCGAUCUCAUCACGAAGCUAAUGGAAGUCUUCAG